Strongylocentrotus purpuratus (purple sea urchin) is the source of this 3578-nucleotide RNA transcript. RefSeq lists it as uncharacterized. The transcript is spliced from 6 exons. The record is from RefSeq and is a predicted model, not a curated record. NCBI's taxonomy places the organism in Eukaryota, Metazoa, Echinodermata, Echinoidea, Camarodonta, Strongylocentrotidae.
UAUCUUCCUAUAUUAUAUUCUCUAUAUAGACUGCAUGCCGCCGCGACCGUCGAUCACACUCAUUUCUUUGCAGUUCUCAACUAGCACUUGAUCACAACAAGAUAUCACAAUUAGAGUAAAAAUGCCGAAGCGAUGCCGAAGCGAUGCAGAAGCUUGCAUUUUUCCCCCUCCAAAAAAAAGAAGCAACCAAGUCGAUCAAAUCACAUUGCAUCACAGGAGGCUGCACCUGAGGAUGAGGGGUCUGGCCCAAGCACCGAACCAAUCCACCAUGCAAACCACGUCGCAUCACAGGAGGCUGCACCUGAGGAUGAGGGGUUUGGCCCAAGCACCGAACCAAUCCACCAUGCAAACCACGUCGCAUCACAGGAGGCUGCACCUGAGGAUGAGGGGUCUGGCCCAAGCACCGAACGCAUCCACGAAGCAGGACCUGAGAUACUACAUAUUGGACCAAUGUCCAAAAUAUGUCCUUAUUGUGAUGCAAUGCGGUUCCCAAAUGAGUCACUGAAUUGUUGUCAUGAUGGAAAAAUAUGUUUGCCGGAACUAUUACCAUACCCAAAUGCUCUAGCAACAUUGCUCCAAGGAGACUCCAGUCAAUCUAAACAUUUCCGAUACAAUAUCAGAUACUACAAUUCAUCAUUUGCUUUCGCAUCGAUGGGAGCAAUGAUGGCUCCUCCACCAGGAAGAGGACCAUACUGUUUUCGUAUACACGGGCAAAUAUAUCACCGGUCAGGAUGCUUACACCCUCCACCAGGUGAGCCCCCCAAAUAUGGACAGGUGUACAUACUAGAAGGAAAUCUGGCAACAUCAACUAGGAUUCAACAACACCCACAAUGUAACCAAAGCACCAUGGAGACAAUUCAACAUAUCAUAGAGGAAACAAGCCCUUAUGCUGCAGCGUACAAGUGCAUGAAGCAAGUAGAAGAUGAACAAAUGCAAACAAGUGACCCUCAAACUCCCGUGCCAUCUGUGAAGAUGAUUUUCAAGCGAGGCUCUGAUCAACGCAGAUACAACCUUCCCACAGUUGAUGAGGUGGCAGCAGUUUUUGUGGGAGAAGAUGGUAUGCCUCCGGAUCAGAGAGACUUUGCAGUCUAUCCAAAAAACCAUCAUCUGCACAACAUUAGCUGUCUAUCAGCGAAUAUUGAUCCCAUGACCUAUCCACUUCUUUUUCCCAGGGGAGACCUUGGAUGGAUGCCAAACAUGUUACACAGACCAGAGAAACGCACUAAGAAGAGGAUUAAUGUAACAUUCCUGCAGUUUUAUUCCUUUCGUUUGGCUGUCAGACAGAGCUUUAGUGCGAUCCACCGAGGAGGCAAACUAUUCCAGCAGUAUAUUGUAGAUGCUUAUGUUAAGACAGAGGCCAAUCGCUUGCAGUAUGUGAAAAACAAUCAAAAGCAGUUGAGAGUUGCAAAAUAUCAAGGGCUGAUGGACCACUUACACAAAGAAGCCGAUCAUGCCAACUUGCCUCUUGGAAAAGUUGUGGUACUCCCCUCUACCUUUCAUGGAAGUCCACGAUGUAUGCAACAGAACUACCAAGAUGCGAUGGCUAUUGUUGCAAAGUAUGGCAAGCCAGACCUCUUCCUAACCUUUACCUGCAAUCCCAAAUGGGAUGAGAUCAAGGAAAACUUGCUACCAGGGCAAACAAGCUCUGAUCGCCCUGACAUUGUAGCACGAGUAUUCAAACAGAAACUGAACAACCUCCUCGCAGACUUGCGUCAACACCAUGUACUUGGACGUCCCAUUGCUUGGAUCUACGUCAUUGAGUUCCAGAAACGAGGUCUCCCACAUUGCCACAUGCUACUGAUGCUCAGUGAAGACACAAAAAUGAGAAAUCCAGAAGACAUUGACAAUUUGAUCAGUGCUCAAAUACCAGAUCCUGAUGAAGAUUCAGUCCUUUACAACAUCAUCAAGGCAACAAUGGUACAUGGUCCAUGUGGAACUUUGAAUCCUAAAUCUGUAUGCAUGGAUGAUGGAAAGUGCCAGAAAGACUUUCCAAAGAACUUUCAAGCAGAAACCCAAGUGAGCAGUGAUGGAUACCCCCUCUAUGCACGACCUGACAAUGGAAGAACACUGACAAUCAAGAAUGCAGAAUUAGAUAACAGGUGGAUAGUUCCAUACAGUCCUUACUUAUCAAGGAAAUACCAAGCCCACAUCAAUCUUGAAGCAUGUAUGUCGGUCAAAAGCGUAAAAUAUCUGUUCAAGUACGUCUACAAAGGCCACGACUGCGCAAGCGUGGAAGUUCAACCAGAGACUACCUUCAACCAUGAUGAAGUUUCCCAUUUUCUCAACACAAGAUAUGUAAGUGCACCAGAAGCUAUGUGGCGCUUAUCAGAGUACAAGAUGCAUGCCCAGUCACACACAGUUCAUCGCCUUCCUGUUCAUCUGGAAGACCAACAAAACGUAUACUUCACUCAAGGAAACGAAGAGAGCGCACUUGAAAGAGCUCAAUCACAUAAAACACAGCUUACAGCAUGGUUUGAACUCAAUGCCUCUGAGCCAGAAGCUAAUCAGUUUCUAUAUGUUGACAUAGCUCAACAUUAUGUGUGGGACAUGACCAAAAAAAAAAUGGAAGAAAAGACAAAGAAAAACUAAUACAAUUGAUAGGAUGUACUCAGUUAGCCCUACAGAUCAAGAGCGAUUUUAUCUCCGCAUUCUUUUGCUCCAUGUACCCGGUGCUAAAAGCUACACUGACUUAAAAACAGUGGAUGGAAUUGAAGCACAAACAUUCAAGGAAUCCUGCAAACUACGUAAUUUGUUAGAUGAUGACUCCACAUGGCAAGACACUUGGUGUGAAGCAGCAAACUUCAAAAUGCCACAUCAACUACGCUUCAUGUUUGCAACAAUCCUUGCCAACAACCUACCAAAUGAUCCAAGCAGCUUAUGGCAACGACACAAACACUCAAUGACUGAAGAUCUAUUGAGACGAUAUUCUAUUCAGCUUGCAGAACAAGUAGCACUCCAACACAUCGACAGCAUUCUUCGGGCUUAUGGUCUGUCCUGCUCUGGAUUUCAACUUCCACUUGACAACAACAUCCCAGACGUACCUGUAGAGUCUGCACCUAACCUGCUUGAUGAUACCAAUCUCACCUUGAACCAAGAACAACAAGCUGUUGUUGACGCUAUCAUGGACUGUCUUCAAAAUGGACAAGCACAGCCAGAACCAUCUGUCUUUUUCAUGGAUGGUCCAGGCGGAACUGGCAAGACAACUGUUUACAACAGACUGAUCUCAUCUUUUCAUGCUAUGAACUUGGAGGUAUCUGCAACUGCUUUCACUGGCAUCGCAGCAACAUUGUUACAUCAAGGACAAACUCUUCACAGCUUCUUCAAGCUACCAGUCCCCAUCACAGAUGGAUGUACCUGCAACAUCUCAUUUAGCUCUACGCAAGCUAACAUCAUCAAAAAUACAUAAUUGUUCAUCAUUGAUGAGGUGUCUAUGGUCCCUAAGCAUGCACUUGAUGCUAUUGACAUGUGUUUACGAGACAUAAUGCAGUGUGAUAUUCCAUUCGGAGGCAAGAUAUUUCUAUUGGGAGGUGAUUUCAGGCAGGUGCUUCCUGUAAUCCCACGAGCACGACCAGCAACUC